CCAAGAAGUCCAACAUGUGCGCGAGUCAUUGGGUAUUACGAAACCUAAAGGCGUAAUGAAGGUAAAGGCGAGUUCGGCUCGCCGAGGUGAGAUCCUCGUCUUMGGUCGGGGCGCAUCACCGGCCCGUCACUGGCGGAGCAAGAGCGCACACGUUGGGACCCGAAAGAUGGUGAACUAUGCCUGAGCAGGACGAAGCCAGAGGAAACUCUGGUGGAAGUCCGCAGCGAUUCUGACGUGCAAAUCGAUCGUCAAACUUGGGUAUAGGGGCGAAAGACUAAUCGAACCAUCUA
Molecule: ribosomal RNA, 290 nt
Filed under: Sinezona confusa
Lineage: Eukaryota; Metazoa; Mollusca; Gastropoda; Pleurotomariida; Scissurellidae
Description: partial 28S ribosomal RNA
Rfam family: Eukaryotic large subunit ribosomal RNA
Source: RNAcentral